UAAUACGGAGGGUGCAAGCGUUAUCCGGAUUCACUGGGUUUAAAGGGUGCGUAGGUGGGUUGGUAAGUCAGUGGUGAAAUCUCCGAGCUUAACUUGGAAACUGCCAUUGAUACUAUUAAUCUUGAAUAUUGUGGAGGUCAGCGGAAUAUGUCAUGUAGCGGUGAAAUGCUUAGAGAUGACAUAGAACACCAAUUGCGAAGGCAGCUGGCUACACAUAUAUUGACACUGAGGCACGAAAGCGUGGGGAUCAAACAGGAUUAGAUACCCUGGUAGUCCACGCCCUAAACUAUGGAUACUCGACAUACGCGAUACACAGUGUGUGUCUGAGCGAAAGCAUUAAGUAUCCCACCUGGGAAGUACGAUCGCAAGAUUG
RNAcentral lists this ribosomal RNA (373 nucleotides) under uncultured bacterium. RNAcentral's name for it is "bacterial SSU rRNA". It matches the Rfam family "Bacterial small subunit ribosomal RNA", at positions 521 to 896 of the family's 1533-position model. The record is from RNAcentral.